AGAUUGAACGCUGGCGGCAGGCCUAACACAUGCAAGUCGAGCGGCAGCACGGGUACUUGUACCUGGUGGCGAGCGGCGGACGGGUGAGUAAUGCCUAGGAAUCUGCCUGAUAGUGGGGGAUAACGUUCGGAAACGGACGCUAAUACCGCAUACGUCCUACGGGAGAAAGUGGGGGAUCUUCGGACCUCACGCUAUCAGAUGAGCCUAGGUCGGAUUAGCUAGUUGGUAGGGUAAAGGCCUACCAAGGCUACGAUCCGUAACUGGUCUGAGAGGAUGAUCAGUCACACUGGAACUGAGACACGGUCCAGACUCCUACGGGAGGCAGCAGUGGGAAUAGUUGGACAAUGGGCGAAAGCCUGAUCCAGCCAUGCCGCGUGUGUGAAGAAGGUCUCGGAUGUAAAGCUACUUAAGUGGAGAAGGCAUUAACUAAUACGUUAGUGUUUUGACGUUACGACAGAAUAGACACCGGCUAACUCUGUGCCGAAGCAGCCGA
RNAcentral lists this ribosomal RNA (493 nucleotides) under uncultured soil bacterium. RNAcentral's name for it is "bacterial SSU rRNA". It matches the Rfam family "Bacterial small subunit ribosomal RNA", at positions 26 to 518 of the family's 1533-position model. The record is from RNAcentral.